Molecule: ribosomal RNA, 229 nt
Filed under: uncultured bacterium
Lineage: Bacteria
Description: partial 16S ribosomal RNA
Rfam family: Bacterial small subunit ribosomal RNA
Source: RNAcentral
UGCGUAGGCGGAAUUUUAAGUCAGUGGUGAAAUCCUGCAGCUCAACUGUAGAACUGCCAUUGAUACUGAUCUUCUUGAAUUUAGUUGAGGUGGGCGGAACGUGUAAUGUAGCGGUGAAAUGCUUAGAUAUUACACAGAACACCGAUUGCGAAGGCAGCUCACUAAACUAACAUUGACGCUGAGGCACGAAAGCGUGGGGAGCGAACAGGAUUAGAUACCCUGGUAGUCC